UACGAAGGGGGCUAGCGUUGUUCGGAAUUACUGGGCGUAAAGCGCGUGUAGGCGGGUCUUUAAGUCCGGGGUGAAAUGCCAAGGCUCAACCUUGGAACUGCCUUUGAUACUGGAGACCUUGAGUCCGGGAGAGGUGAGUGGAAUUGCGAGUGUAGAGGUGAAAUUCGUAGAUAUUCGCAAGAACACCAGUGGCGAAGGCGGCUCACUGGCCCGGACCUGACGCUGAGGCGCGAAAGCGUGGGGAGCAAACGGG
RNAcentral lists this ribosomal RNA (253 nucleotides) under uncultured bacterium. RNAcentral describes it as "partial 16S ribosomal RNA". It matches the Rfam family "Bacterial small subunit ribosomal RNA", at positions 524 to 776 of the family's 1533-position model. The record is from RNAcentral.